Peromyscus maniculatus bairdii (prairie deer mouse) is the source of this 998-nucleotide non-coding RNA. The record is from RefSeq and is a predicted model, not a curated record. NCBI's taxonomy places the organism in Eukaryota, Metazoa, Chordata, Mammalia, Rodentia, Cricetidae.
UGUCAAUAUGCUGGUGACCUGAUUCCUUUUCAAUUUCCUGACAGGCCUGAGGAGCUUGUUAAAUGCCAAAGUGAAUUCCCUCAGUCUCUCUUCCUCCCCACACAGACACUGACUGGUUCUGAGUCACUGAAACUGUUGUGUUCUUUUUGGGCCCCUCCACCACCUGCCAUCAUAUGCCUCAGAGGUCAUCAUUACUGCUAAAUGAAAAUGCAGGCAGGCGAGGUAACAGACCACCAACUCAAGAAACCAGGAGCCACUCUGAAUCUUGGCUGCUGUCACUGACAUCCCACACCUGUGCUGAGACCCACAGCUACUGAAAUCAGCUCGCAACUGAAACCCUCACACACAAUAAAAGGGAAAGACCCCGAGGACCUGGGUGCUCACUCGACACAAAGCCAGAGAUGACUGAGCAUGCAGUGUCUAUUUCCUGUUUAAUGCAUUGCAUGCAGUGUGAGGCGCCUCAUUCCUGCCAGCUCAGUUCACAAAAGAUAACUGAAGAAACAGCUCCCUACCUCACUGAAAAUGGAUGAGGAACUGUGAAUUUGGCUACAAGAUACUCGACAGUAGGCAAUUCCUUAAUGGUAUGAGAACAGCCUGCAAAAUAGCCAGUAGAAGGUGAGUGGCAACAUCCACCCGUGAUUCAGACCUCUUAGCAGACCGCAAGCAGACAGGGAAUCCUUCACUUCAUUUUUUAAAUAUCUAUUAAAAUCCCACGGUAGGUACUGUUCCCCACGGCAAUCCUCUCUGAAAUGAGAACCGGGCAAGGUACUCUCAGGCCAGCCUGAUAAGAAAGAAAGAAAGCCUGCAAGGGCUGGAAACAAAGAGGCAAAUCCCCUCAGGAGACUGGCCCGUUGGACCUCAUUAAUGAGAUUUCUCAUUUUUUUUUGGGGGGGGGGAGUGUCUGUCCAUGGGCACAUCAUGAAGAGAUCAACAAGUAAUCGGCCAGGCUACCCAACUGUGGCUCUCCACAGAUCCGCCCUGCUGAGCAGUGUGUUGAG